CGGUAAUACGUAGGGUGCAAGCGUUAAUCGGAAUUACUGGGCGUAAAGCGUGCGCAGGCGGUUUUGUAAGUCUGACGUGAAAUCCCCGGGCUUAACCUGGGAAUUGCGUUGGAGACUGCAAGGCUAGAAUCUGGCAGAGGGGGGUAGAAUUCCACGUGUAGCAGUGAAAUGCGUAGAGAUGUGGAGGAACACCGAUGGCGAAGGCAGCCCCCUGGGUCAAGAUUGACGCUCAUGCACGAAAGCGUGGGGAGCAAACAGGAUUAGAUACCCUGGUAGUCCACGCCCUAAACGAUGUCUACUAGUUGUCGGGUCUUAAUUGACUUGGUAACGCAGCUAACGCGUGAAGUAGACCGCCUGGGGAGUACGGUCGCAAGAUUAAA
This 380-nucleotide ribosomal RNA is filed under the name uncultured bacterium. RNAcentral describes it as "bacterial SSU rRNA". It matches the Rfam family "Bacterial small subunit ribosomal RNA", at positions 518 to 898 of the family's 1533-position model. The record is from RNAcentral.